Molecule: ribosomal RNA, 684 nt
Filed under: uncultured bacterium
Lineage: Bacteria
Description: bacterial SSU rRNA
Rfam family: Bacterial small subunit ribosomal RNA
Source: RNAcentral
CUGCAGUCGAACGAGAAAGUGGAGCAUCCAUGAGUAAAGUGGCGUAACGGGUGAGUAACACGUGGAUUAUCUGCCCUGAAGUGGGGAAUAACAAUGGGAAACCGUUGCUAAUACCGCAUAUUCCCGAGAGGGGAAAGCAGCAAUGCGCUUCAGGAGGAGUCCGCGGCCGAUUAGCUUGUUGGUAGGGUAAUGGCCUACCAAGGCUUCGAUCGGUAGCCGGCCUGAGAGGGCACACGGCACACUUGGCACUGAAACACGGGCCAGACUUCCUACGGGAGGCAGCAGUGGGGAAUCUUGCACAAUGGGGGCAACCCUGAUGCAGCGACGCCGCGUGAGCGAUGAAGCCCUUCGGGGUGUAAAGCUCUUUCGGCAGGGAAGAUAAUGACGGUACCUGCAGAAGCAGCUGCGGCUAACUACGUGCCAGCAGCCGCGGUAAUACGUAGGCAGCAAGCGUUGUUCGGAGUUACUGGGCGUAAAGGGUGUGUAGGCGGCUUUCUAAGUUUGGUGUGAAAUCUCCCGGCUCAACCGGGAGGGUGCGCCGAAGACCGGGAGGCUAGAGUAUGGGAUGGGAGAGCGGAAUUCCCGGUGUAGAGGUGAAAUUCGUAGAUAUCGGGAGGAACACCAGUGGCGAAGGCGGGAUCUGGGAAAGAUACUGACGCUGAGGUGCGAAAGCGGUGGGGAGCA